Molecule: long non-coding RNA, 14272 nt
Filed under: Gossypium barbadense (sea-island cotton)
Lineage: Eukaryota; Viridiplantae; Streptophyta; Magnoliopsida; Malvales; Malvaceae
Description: long non-coding RNA (GBAR_LNC010263)
Source: RNAcentral
CAAACGAAACAGAAACCAGGGGAAGGAAAGAAAGAAAAAGAGAAAAGAAAGAAAAAAAGGGAAAAUCAAAGAUGUGAAGCUUGGAAGUUUAAUAGGUAAGUCAAUUGAGCCCUUUUUACUUAAUUUUGAUAUUUUAGAAGCUUUGGAUAAGAUUUUGAUGAAAUUAAGUUGAUAUUUUGAAAAGAUAUUAGAUUUUUAGAUACUGUUCAUGUUGAGUAAAAUGAUGAAAUAAGGGUUAAAUUGAUAGAAAUUCAAGUUAGAAAUGAAAUAAGGAUUGAAUUAUAAAGUAAUUCAUAAGUUUUAUGUUGAAGGGCUAAUUUGAGGAAAUUUUGAAACUAGUUAAAUAAGCUGAAAAUUUUGGAGUUAAAUUUGAGUUGGGAUGGAACUUGAAUAGAAAUAGAGUAUGAAUUAAGUUAGUAAAAUUAAUGGAAAUUGAUUUUAGGACAUAAUUGUGAAAAUGUUGGAAUUAAAGUCUAGUGCUGAAAUUAUGAUUUCCAAAAGUUGUAAAGUAGCUUAAAGUGAUAGAAUAAAGUGCUAAUUGAGAAAAAUCAGCUCAAUUGAGAGGCUAAUUGAGUAGGGACGAAAUUGUUAUUUAUUAAAGCUUAAGGGAAAAAUGGUAAUAAACAACUUGCACUAAAACAAUAUUGGACAGAAGCAGUAGACUAACUUUGAAAAAUCACCAUAAAUUGUAGAAAUCGAAUUAGAGAUGAAAAAAAUAUGAAAUUAAAGCUUAUUGAGUCUAGUUUCUCAUAGAAGAAACGGUGUAAGCAAUAGAUUUGUAAAUCAUGAGAUAUAAUAAAUUUUGUGAGACAACAUCAGAAUGAUUUCGGGUUCCCCUGUUCUAACUUUGAAAAAUCAUAAAAAAUUGGAUAAUCAUAAUUAUGGGCUUAAAUUUAUAUGUUUAGAAUCUUGAAUAAGUCUAGUUUCAAUAGAAAUAAACAGGAACAUCAUUCAAAUUCUGUACGAGAAGAUAAUUAAUUUUUAGUGAAGAAGGGUCACAACUGUCAGACAGCAGAAUAUGGGUAACUUUAAAGAAUAAAAUGUACUUAUUGACUAAACCAAAAAUUCUGAAAAUUUUAUGGUAAGAAUAUAUAUGAGUCUAGUUUCAGGAAAAGUUAUCGGAUCUUAAUUUAGAGCUCUAUAUCUCUAGAUAUAAAUAAUUUAGUAACUAUGACACAGAUGGACAGAUUGAAUAUUCAUAAAAGUAAAUAAUAAAAAUUAUAGAUGAUGUUACUUACAAGUGUGUUAUAUACAUUAAGGAUGCGGAAUGGAGAGGAGGAGGAGGAAAAAUAUAUAUGAAUAUCCAGCUUGCAUGGCUAAUUUGCAUGUUUUAGGCUUAAGGACUAAAUUGAAUAAAAGUAAAACUUCAGGGGCAAUUUUGUAAAAAUGUCAAAAUGAUCAAAUUGAAGGGAAUGAAUUUUUUUAUUAUCUAAAUUAAUAAAUUGAAUGAAAUUUUCAAUUUAAUAUCGGGUGAAAAUUGAGAAAAUGGUAAAUUACCAAAAUGUCCCUAAAUCUUGAUAUUUCUACAAUUUCGCUAGGUAAGUUUAUGUAACUUGAAUUAUAUUCUUUAAUGCUUGAAAUAUAUGUUAUUGAUGUGAAUAUGAUUUGAAUGUUCAUUGUAUGAAAAUUGAUGAAACAUUGAUAUAUUUGAUAAAAUGGGAAGAAAUCCCGGUUGAAUGAAAGGAAAUUUCGAUAGAUCUCUGAAAAGGAAUUGGCGGUAAAAAGGAUCUAGCCCGGACGGGUGAUCCUAUCCUGAUAUAGCCCUCCCGAAGAAUAUGUGAAAAAUGGAUUUAGCCGGGACAGGUAAUCCGAAUUAGGGUCUGAAUUUAGCCUGGACUAGUAAUUCAGAUCCAAGCUCAUUAGAGUAAUUGUCGUUGCAAGGGAUUUAGCCUGGACUGGUAAUCCCGACAAUACUCUAUGAGUUUAUAUUACAGGGGAUUUAGCCUGGACUGGUAAUCCCACUGUAAGGAUGAGGUUCGCGAGAGUGUGCUCUCUGAUAUGAAAUGUGUAAGACCAUGGUUGAAAGAUACUAUGGCAACCUGAUAUGAAAUGUGUAAGACCAUGGUUGAAAGAUACCAUGGCAGCCUGAUAUGAAAUGUGUAAAACCAUGGUUGAAAGAUAACAUGGCAGCAUGACAUGAAAUGAAUAAGACCAUGGUUGAAAGAUACCAUGGCAACAUGACAGAAAAUGAGUAAGACCAUAAUUGAAAGACACUAUGGCAUCAUGUCAAAGAUAAAUAAGACCGUGGAAGAGAGACGCCAAGAUAUCUGUUGAACAACUAAUAUUCAGGUAAUAUGUACCAGAUGACAAAUAGUUAUAUGAAUUGGUUGUACAAAAUGGUUAUGUGAAAUGUUUACAGGAAUUGGUCAUAUGGAAAUAUAUGUACAAAAUAGUUGUAUGAAAUAAUUAAGAAGAUAGAUAAAUGAAAUAAGUAUAGAUACAUGGAAUUUAAUUUAUGUUAAGUUUAAUACGAACUAUUACCAAAGUAAAUAUACAUAAGAUAUAAGGAAAUGAUGAUGCAUGAAAUAUUGAUAUAACGAAAUGAAUGAUAUAUGCUUAUGAAGAAAUAGUAAGAGAAUAAUAUAUUUUGUGACAUGAACAUAUAUAAUUAUCUUUGAUAUGUUGAUAUAAGGAAAUUAUGUAAGUUGAGACUAUUAUUGAACUUAAGUGUGAUAUGUUGAGAAAAUAGGUAUAUCAUUGUUGAAUUUAUAUGAAGUAUGUGCAAGUAUACUAACAAUGUUGUUGUAUGAUGCUUAGACAAGUGCCAAGCUAUUGAUUGAAUGGUAACAUGUUUAAUUAUAAGGAGCAUUGAAAUGGUAAGUACUUAGAUGAAAAUAUAAUUUAAGAUUUUGCAAAAAAAAUUUUAACCCCAUUCAAUUCCGGUUGGUUUUUAAUGUAUGUUUGGGGCUUCGAGGGCCCAAUAGAGAACGUUAUGGUUAUUUUCAAAAUAUGAAUAAUAAAUGACUCAAAAUUAUCUGAAAAUGUUUAGUAAACUCCGGUAAUGCCUCGUACCCUAUUCCGGCAAUGGAUACGGGUUGAGAGUGUUACACCUACUAUAGGGUCGCUAAGAGAUACUUGACCCCAGAUUACGUGAUCUGACUAUGUGAUAUAUGUGCUCUUAGCAUGUAAAUCGAUUUGUAUGUUUGAUCUAUUAAUUGCAUAAUUGCAUGUCAUCUAUUGUAUGUUGCAUUGUAUCGGGGUUAGGUUGAGGAUAUUUUGGAGGAAGUGUCUGAAAGGCUUUAAGCCUAUUAUUUGGCAGCUCAGCUGCAUUAUUCUGAUCAUGUGCCGCAAUUCGGUACAGUAUGGUGUGUAGGGAUGGGUGGGUUGAUUAUAUCCCUACAUGGUGUGUAGAGCUGGAUGGAGAUGGUGUAUAGAGGCUGUGGGUAGGAUUCUGAUAUUCUAUCUACAUACUGUAUCUGACAUGGGCUAAGGCCCUAAGUGGUAUCUGAUUCUGUAUCUGAUGGGCUAAAGCCCUAACUGAUUCUGUAAAGGGCUCCGGCCCCAGAUUAUUUAUUCAUGACACCUGUUGUGUAUACUUUCUGUGGGGAUUACAUAUUGAGUUUGCAAAAACUCACCCUUUUUUGUUUUAUCUGUGUAUGUAAUCCCUAAACUUAACCGGUCGGUGUAGCGAAGAAUUCGACGAUGGCCACACAUAUUUAGAAUGUUUUAAACUUCGUUUUGGUAUUUAUUUCCUAAUUAUUUACUGGUUGUUUUGAUGUAAUAUGGGGACUUUAUGAACUGUUGGACUUUAUUUAUCUUUUUAAAUUGUUUAUGGGAUUUUAGUCUAAACCCGGUUUUAUUCAAAAUGACGGUAGCCUUAAUUACGAAUGGUUUUUCAAAGAUAAAUUUUAUCAAAAGCUUCAGCGUAAAAGAAAUGUUUUAAAGUAAAUCAAUUAGUUUACGUUUUCCCGAACUAAGUAAAAGACGAUAAUUGGAACGGUUUAAAGGUUAAUGUAUUUUUAAAAACACUUUCAUGUGACAUCGCCAGAUUCGGUCAUAACAUCCAGGCCGAAUUUAAGGUGUUACAUUUAGUGGUAUCAGAGCCAAGUUGCAAAACUCGGCUGUGGAUUUGGAUUAUAAAGAUUGGUUUUAAAGAAAUUAUUUGUAAAUAAUUUGAAAUAUUUUUUAAAAAUAAGUAUGUGGUACACCGAGUCUCCAGCGCAGAUCUUGUAAGUUCUCUGAAACUCUGUUUAAAAUUGCUUAAAAAUAUGAUUAGAAUAUACUGAAACUACUUUAGGUAGUAUAUUACAUUGAAAACACUCUAAGUAGUGUAGACUGAAAAACUGUAGUGAAACUACAACCCGCGAUAACCGACUCUGAAUAUUUUGAUACUGUACUGCAUAAAAUAUCUGUUAAUAAAUAUUGGAACUAUAGCUAAUGUAUAAAACUAUUAACACAGAUAAAUUUUAAAAUUUACGAUGAGCACACGUGAUACUCAUAGACUGGUUACUAGAGGCUGUGGUAGGGGCCGUGAGGGGCUCGAGCUGAGUCCUUGGCAUCUGAUACUAUUUCGAAUUUGGAUACUAGCGAAACGUCAAUAUCACCUGUGACAGAGAUUGGGUCUGGGUCUCAUGAUUAUCCGACUAGGGAUGACGUACUGUCCCAAGCCAUGCUACAGAUUUUGGAGUGGGUCGUUAGGCCCAAUACUAGUUCUAGAGGUCGAGGGUCGAUUACGGAAUGACUUCAGUCCAAUAAGGCUGAGUUAUUCAGAGCUGUCGCUGGAGUCACCCCUAACGUGGCCAAGUAUUGGAUGGAGGCCACGAAGAGAAUUAUGGAUGACUUGGAUUUUACUGUUGAGCAAAAGCUUAAGGGGGUUGUUUCUCUGUUACGGGAUGAGGCAUACCAGUAGUGGCUUACGGUUAAGGAGGGCACACAGCCCGACCGAUUGACCUGGGAUUAUUUUAAGACUACGUUCCAGGGUAAGUAUUUGAGAGUCAGCUAUAUUGAUACUAGGAGGCAUGAGUUCCUUAACCUCACCCAGGGAGAUCGUUCAGUAGCCAAGUAUGAGACCGAGUUUUUAAGGUUGAGCCGUUAUGCGCGAGGCAUGAUAGUGACCGAGUAUGAGCACUAUGUCCGAUUUGAGGAUGGUCUCAGAGACAGUUUGCGAGUCUUGAUAGCUCCGCAGAGGGAGCGUGAUUUCUCUGUUCUAAUUGAGAAUAAGAAGAUCGUCGAAGAGGUUGAGCGCUCUAAGUGCCAACACCGAGAGAAAUGAAAGAGUAAGGGGGAAUUGGAGCCCUCAAUUGCUAUGAUGAGGCAUAAGAAAAAGGCCAGAUCUGAUAGGCCAAUGAGCAUGGGGCCUCCUACUGCAUCUUCUGGGGUGGCGCUCUAUGGACACUGUGGUAGACGCUAUCCGGGUGAGUGUUGGAGGACUACUAGGGCAUGUUUGAGGUGUGGGUCGACUGAGUGCAGUGUUCGGGAUUGUCUAUUGAGGUCCGAUUAGAUGCAGGCUACGGGUACUAGUAUUGCGCAGCCACCAAGAGUAGUCCAGCAGCCACCUAGGGGCCGAGGUUAGAGAGUACCGGGUAGAAGUGUUGGACCAACUAAGGCGAGGUAGCUUGAAACUUUGGGGAUUCCGGUUGUAAGUACUGAUAGUGAAGUGACUGUUGUGAGUCCUUGGGGGAAGCCUAUCUGAGUCAACAAAUUGUAUAGAGACUUUCUGUUAGAGGUCCAAUGGACAGUGUUUCUGGCAGAUUUGAUGAAGCUUCCGUUUGAGGAGUUCGAUUUGAUAUUGGCGAUGGAUUUGUUGGUAAAGUACCGAGCAAGUUUGGAUUGUACGAUAAAAAGGGUUAUGUUGAGAACCGAUGAGGGCAAUGAGGUAAUCGUGAUUGGGGAAUGUCGUGAUUACCUGACUAAUGUGAUUUCUGUGUUGGUGGCGAAAAAGUUGGUCCGAAAAGGAUGUGAGGUUUAUCUGGAUUAUGUGAGUGUUUUGGACUCUGGGGACUCUUCUGUUAAGGAUAUCAAAACUGUAAGAGAUGUUCUGGAUGUCUUUCUUGAGGAGUUACCGAGGUUGCCUCCAAGCCGUAAAGUAAAGUUUGGGAUUGAGUUGAUUCCUGGUAUAGCUCUAGUACCUAUCGCCCUUUAUCGAAUGACACCAAAAGAGCUGACAGAACUUAAGGCUCAGAUUUAGGAGCUAUUAGACCGUGGGUUCAUUCGUUCCAGUGUGUUUCCGUGGAGAGCAUCUGUUCUAUUUGUAAAGAAGAAAGAAGGGACAAUGCGGAUGUGUAUCGACUAUCGGCAGCUGAAUAAGCUAAAAAUUACGAAUAAAUACCCUCUCUCGAGGAUUGAUGAUUUAUUCGGCCAGCUUAGAGGGGCUUCUGUGUUUUCCAAGAUUGACUUGCGUUCUUGGUAUCAUCAGCUGAGGGUAAAAGAGGCUGAUGUGCAUAAAAUGGCAUUUAGAACUCAAUAUGGACAUUACGAGUUCCUAGUUAUGCCCUUUAGUUUGACUAAUACACCAGCGGCAUUCAUGGAUUUGAUGAAUUGAGUAUUUUAGCCCUACUUGGAUCAGUUUGUGGUAGUGUUCAUCGACGACAUCUUGGUAUAUUCUAAGACAGAAGAUGAACACGAUGAGCAUCUCAGAGUGGUUCUACAGAUUCUUCAUGAGAAACAGUUAUAUGCGAAGUUCAGCAAGUGUGAGUUCUGGCUUCGGAAAGUGACAUUUCUGGAACAUGUAGUUUCUGCUGAGGAGAUAAGAGUUUAUCCUCGUAAAAUUAAGGCCUUGUUGGGUUGGAAACAGCCGAAGAAUGUGUCUGAGAUCUGCAGUUUUCCGGGGCUAGUAAGGUAUUAUCGACGUUUCAUAAAAGGGUUAUCUUUGAUCGCAGCUCCGAUGACAAAGCUGCUGCAUAAGGGAGUUCCUUUCGUUUGGACUAAUGCACAGCAAGAGAGCUUUGAUAAGCUUAAGAUAGUUUUAACUCCGGCUCCUGUUCUGAUAUAGUCUGAGCCCGGUAAAAACUUUUUUGGUAUACAAUGAUGCAUCGCAUGUGGGUUUGGGUUGUGUUCUGAUGCAAGAUGGAAAGGUAGUCGCUUAUGCGUCUCGACAGCUCAAGACUCAUGAGGUUAAUUACUUGAUGCACGAUUUGGAAUUGGCGGCAGUUGUCUUUGCUCUAAAGAUCUAGAGGCAUUACCUAUACCAUGAGAAGUGUACCAUCUACAAUAUCACAAAAGCCUCAAGUAUCUCCUCACUCAGAAAGAGUUGAACCUUAGGUAGUGUAGAUAGGUUGAACUGCUAAAGGAUUACGAUUGCACUAUCGAGUACCAUCCUAGUAAAGCCAAUGUGGUAGCCGAUGUAUUAAGCCACAAGGCUAUGACCGAUCUGAGAGCAAUGUUUGCUUGACUGAGUCUUUUCGAUGAUGAAAGUCUAUUAGCAGAACUUUAAGUGAAACCGACAUGGAUUGAUCAGAUCAGAAAUAAACAGAUGGGGGAUAGGUCUCUUGAGUUGCGGUUCCGUCAAGUUGAAAGUGGUAUUACUUCUGAUUUUGGGAUUAAUAAUGAUGGGGUAUUAUGUUUCCACAAUCAAAUUUGUACCGAAUGAUGAGGACUUGAGACAGUCGAUUUUGAGGGAGGCGCAUAGUAGCCCCUAUACUAUGCAUCCCUGCAGAAAUAAAAUGUACCGAGAUCUGUAAGAUGUAUAUUGGUGGCCAGGGUUGAAGUGAGAAGUUAUCGACUUUAUGGCUCGUUGUUUAACUUGUCAGCAGGUUAAGGCUGAGUAUCAGUUACCUUCGGGUUUGCUAUAGCCGGUUAAAAUACCGAUGUGGAAAUGAGAGCGAGUAACGAUGGACUUCGUUAGUGGGUUGCCUCUAACACCCACUAAGAAGGAUUCUGUCUGGGUCAUCGUGGAUCAAUUGACCAAGUCCGCGCACUUCAUCCCGGUCAGGACAGACUUUUCUCUACAAAAGUGAGGUUGCACGGGGUACCUGUCUCGACCAUCUCUACUAGGGAUCCUCGUUUAACGUCUCGGUUUUGGAAGAAACUUCAUGAGGUUUUGGGUUCAAUAUUAGACUUCAGUACUGUUUUCCAUCCUUAGAUAAAUGGUCAGUUGGAGAGGGUGAUUCAGAUAUUGGAGGACAUGUUGAUGGGCUAUAUUAUUGACUUCUGAGGUAGUUGGGAGGAGUACUUGCCAUUAGCAGAGUUCGCUUACAAUAACAACUACCAGUCUAGUAUGCAGAUGGCACCUUACGAGGUACUGUAUGGUUAUAAGUGCAGUACUCCCUUGUGUUAGACUGAGUUGGGUGAGCGACGCAUUCUGGGUCCAGAGAUGGUUUCUGAGACUGAGGAUAAAGUCCUUUUGAUUCGAGAUCGACUAAAAGCGGCUUUUGAUAGGCAGAAAUCUUAUGCGAAUCUGAAAUGUCGAGAGAUAGAGUAUUCUGUGAGGGACUUAAUUUUUCUCAAAGUUUCGCCAUGGAAAAAAGUUUUGAGCUUCGGUCGCAAGGGUAAGCUAAGCCCUAGGUUUAUUGGGCUAUACCGUAUUCUGAAACGAGUGGGACCAGUCGCUUAUUAGUUGGAGCUACCUCCGGAGUUAAACUGCAUCUAUGAUGUGCUUCACGUCUUGAUGUUGAGGUGCUACCACUCUGAUCCUAUGCAUAUUGUUCCCAUGGAGGAGAUUGAGGUUCGACCUAAUCUGACCUUCGAGGAGGAGCCGGUUUAAAUUCUGGAUCACGACGUUAAAGUUCUGAGGAGGAAAUUUAUUCCUUUAGUAAAGGUGUUGUGGCAGAAUCAUAGCACUGAAGAGGCUAUGUGAGAGUCUGAGGAUGCAAUGCGCCAGCAGUAUCCUCAUCUGUUCUGAUCAAGUAAUUUUUGAGGCUGAAAUUUUCAUUUAGAGGGUAGAACCCCAAGUUUUAAUUUAUGUUUUGAUUAAAUAUGAGACACAACUUUAAAUCUGUUUCAGUGUUUAGGUCUCCUAGGAGUGUCUAAGAAGUCUUGAGUUCAAGCCUUAGCUUGGGCAAAUUUUGUAUAGUUUUUUUAUGACUAAAGCCCUGUCCCUAGUCAAUAGGCUCAUAUUUAUUGGUUGCAAAAACAUAUCAGAAUGGGCCUGCUGGUCUAUUAGUUAAGAUGUGUGAAGGGGUGAUGAAGGUAUUGUGUUUGAAUCUUAGUGGAAUCGAUAAGUGUAAUAUCUUUUUGCUUCUGGAUGUACUAGGCAUGUGGAAGUGUUUGAGGGGAGGUGAAAUUAUGAUAGUGGGCAGUUGUUGAGAGGAUAUUGUGGGGGUAGUGGAUUGGGGGUUAAACUCAUCUUCCCCCAACUCUGCUGAAUUUUUCCCCUUGAUUUUGCCCUCCCUUUUGCCAAACUUUGCCAUUCUCUUUCUUUUCUAUUUUCAAUUUUUUUUCAACUCGUAAUGGUUGCACAGCGUAGUUUACGUGUUCGGUAAGUUUUGGCUUUCGUUUAGCCUUAAAUUGUUUCUUUCUGUGAAUAUUGAUUAAGAGGGGUUUCGGUUGGUUUUUAGACGGUGGUCGAAAGGCUGGAGAUUAUCCAUUACCAUUUUAAGGGUGCGAAGUUUUUUUUCUCGAUCUAAGGUGAGGUUUUGAUAGAGUAUCAAUGGUCAGUAUUGUUAUGUUUUUGGUUGAAAGACGAUUUAAGUGACUGAAAUUAGGCUUUGGAUUGUCGAUUUUAGGUUCUGAAGUGCUCGAGAGUAUUUAGGAAUCAAUAUCGACACAGUUGUGUACCCGAAAACACAGGAAAUGAGAAUCAACGAAAGCCGAAAAAUGAAAUUAUCGGUGCUACACGGGCGUGUGGUCGCCCGUGUGGUAAGCCAUGUAGCAGCACACGGGCAUGUGAUCGACGAACUAGGCCAUACGCGUGUGACACGGACGUAUGACACAGCCGUGUGAUGGUCAAUGAGGUCGUGUGCGAGACACAAUGUAACACCCAAACCCGGCCCAGACGUUAUGGCUGGAUCUAGCGUGUCACAUUGAAGUGUUUUAGCGAAAACCUUGUUUUCUUUGAAAACCCUUCCUUGAAAAAAAUAUGAAACCUUAAUAAACUUAUUAAACUCUCUUUUCACUCACAAAAACCUGUUUACAACAUAUGAUUUUAUGAAAACCUGUCAUUUUGAAAUUUAGUUGCGGAAACGUAGUAUAUAAAAAAACUAAGGUUUAGAAAAUCCAUGUUCAACUUCUCGUAAUUACAGCGCACAAAAUAAUAAUCCAAAUAAUAACAAAAAGGAAGCCUUAUUACAUUUCAGUUCGAAAAGUACUCAAUAAAAUAAAGAACUUAUAUGCUUUUAAAAGAGAAACAAGUCCAAGUUGUCUUGCUAGCUGGUCACCCAGAGUCCCUCCAAACAUCGAACCUUCUACUGAGCAUCACCUGAAAAUAAAAUAAAAUAGGGGGUGAGUUUUCGCAAACUCAGUGUGUACAACCCUCGACGUUUGCGAACCUUCCCCCGAUACACAGCAUGUGGGGAUAUAAAUAUCGACCCACCCAGCCGAUACACAUCCAUGGUAGCCCGGUUGUGGAACUACCUUCAUUUAUACAUUGGACUUAAAAGCCGUCGGUCGAUCCACGAUUGUCAAGCAACCAUGCGAUCCUCAUAUACUUCCUUCGUUCCAUAUUUCCCAACCCAUAUGCAACCUAAGCAGGAUAUCAUAUGUAUGCAGCAAAUAUGCAUGUCAUAUCCAUAAAACCUACACUCAACACAUAGGGGUAUUUUGGUCAUCUUUGCCUUUAGGGGCAUUUCGGUAAUUUUCCCAUUAUUAGAUCCAAUCCUAGACAUGCAUAUACCCAUUACCACACCUUAACCUUAUAACUUGUCCAUGGUCGUAAUUAAUUACUUAAGUUUUAUGUCAAUUAAACAGCUAUCAGAUACUAGGCCCAAAACCCCUUACAGAGCCCAAACAAGUCUACAUACAUGCAUAUGGCCCACUAGGCCCAAUCUCAUUCAUAUGGCCCUUUAGGCCUAAAUCACAUUUGUGUGGUCCAUUAGGCCCAAAUCACAUUCAUACGGCCUAUUAGGCCCAAAUCACAUUCAUAUACAUGCUUUCAUAUAAUUUCCAUCACUUAACAUCAAGUCGCCAAUUUCGCCUAUCAUGGGCCCAAUGACCCAUUGGGCCCACUUAGUCCAACCUGGCCCAGUUGGCUGAAAAACGACCCAAGUUCAUAGAAUUUCCAAUGGGACCUCAGAUAACCUAUUGGUUUCCCCCUUACGAGUAUUCGUGCACUCGCAAGAUUACCGUAGCCAAACUUUCGGCUUUUCGACAUUUCAGCUUUUCGACAUUUCGGGAUUUGCCGAUCUACUUGUGUGUGUGCAAAGUAUGUACACACCUGGUAAGCAAGAGUGAUGCGAUUCCCUUAGUCACCAACCUACAAACGAUAUCACCUUUCAAUUAAUCGUAUGCUUAAUACAUAUUUUACCCAAAAAUCGAAACCUCAUCUUAAUCUUACCUUGAACACCAAUCCCUAAUAGCUUUUCCUUGAUCACGUACUCCCUAGAUCUGCAUUAAUCUUACUCGUUAAAACCAAAUACUAGGGGACUAGCAUCCAACAUAAUUCACCCCCUUAUCUCACUUAAGACCAUUCGGCCAACCUUAGCCAAUAAGAGAGAAAUACUUACCAAAACAGCAAAACACCUAAGGAGCAAUUCGACAGAGAGCUAAAAUCCGAGAUCUGAUACUAAUUCCCUACCAAAGUUGAUUAAAAAGAGUGAGGGAGGGGAGUAAUCGGUAUUAACAAUACUAGUCGAAAAAAAGAUAAGGUACUUACCCCAAAAGAGUAAUCAACCCAAAGGAGAUUCGGCUUUUCGACUUUCAAACUAAUAUGGUGAAUAAGGUUUAUUUGGCACAAAUUAAAGAAAAAUGGUAGAAGAAGGAAUCGGCUAACCCAAAGGGUAAAUCAAAAGAGAACUGAGGAGAGAAAGAAUGGCAAAAGAAUCAGUUAGCAAAGACGAAAAAGCCAAUCGGCACUAAAAAAAUAAAGAAUUUGGCAUUAGCCUAAGAUCCCAAACUCAACACAUAUUUAUAGCCUCUAGCCAAAUUUCCUACCCUCAAUUCCCAAUUCAGCUCCAUCACUUCCCCCUUCUCAUCUCCUCGUUUUUCUCCCUGAUAACUCCCAAAUCUAUUUCCUAAAUUUUCUCUUUUGAACACUCCCCUUAGAGUCCAUCUUCACGCCACUUCCAACCUUCUAGAAGGCUAAAAUUAAACUCCUAAAAAAAUACUAAGCUAGGAUUCAAACUUCGAAUCUCCUUGCUAGCCACUAACGCCACCUCCCUACACCCUAAGUGGCGUCACUUAGCCACUCCUCCACAAGGCUUUUUGAUGUCAUUUUCCCCUAUUUUUAUUUAAAAGCCCAACUACUCCCAACCCUGAUUCUUUUAAUAAUUAAAUUAAAAUUCCUCCACCACAAAACUUGAACCUAGAAUUUCUCCAACAAACCUAGACACUUCAAAUUCCUUAAACCCUUAGAGUCAACAUGUCUUUUGUCAUUUUCUUGCUCACUUAAAAAAAAUUUAUGAAACUCAAAGCCCAAAGCCCAAAGCCCAAUUCAUCUAGGCCCAAAAUUCGGGGCGUUACACACAGGCUCAACCAAAUUAGGCCGUGUGGGCCACAUGGGAGUAUGGGCCCACAUGGGUGUGUGGGAAAAUAAAAUAGGCUAAAUAAAAAUUUUAACCUAUUUUUAACAAUUGUAUAGAGUUGGUGGUUACAUGUGUAAAAAUUAUAUACAUAUAUAUAAAAUAAUAAAUUAUACUACUUAAUACUUAAUUAUAUUAUAUUAUAUUAUAUUAUAUUAUAUUAUAUUAUAUUAUAUUAUAUUAUAUUAUAUUAUAUUAUAUUAUAUUAUAUUAACAAAACAAAUAAAAGAAAAAGAAUAGAAAAAGAAACAAAGUUCAAACAAAAUAGAGAAGAAAAAGAAUGAAAAGAAAAAGAGAAAGAAAAGGAGAAAAGUUAGGGAUUUCAAAGUUCAAAGCUUAAUUGGUAAGUUAAUUUAGUCCAUUUUCUUGUAAUUUUCAUGUUUUUAGAAUCUCGAUAUUAAAUACUACCCGACCUAUGUCAAACUUUUAGAAAUUAUUGAGUUUUUAAAUGUUGUCUAUGUUGAAUAAUUAGAGUAUUAGGGACUAAAUUGAUAGAUUUUUAAUUUGAAAAUGGAAAAGAAUUAAAUUGUAGAAUAUAUUAUAAAAUUUAAGUAUUAGGGACUAAAUUAUAAAAUUUUGAAAUUUAGGGGUUUAAGUGGAAUUAGAGAGUUGAAUCAAGUUUAAAGUGGGAACUGAAUGAAAAUAUAGAAUUAAUUGUAAAGAAAUAAAGUUAGUCUUGGUUUAGGGACUAAAUUGAAAUUUAGGCAAAUGUUAAAUAAAAAUUGGAAUAUUUAAUGUGAAAUUAAAUUGUGUUGUAUUGAUGAAAUUUAAAUUGUUUUUAUUUCCUUAGCUAAUGUUGUGCUGGAAACUUCGACUAAGAAGGGAAAAGAUAAAGUCAACGAGGAGUAACUCGAAAAUUCUAGUUUGUAUUUCUAUAAUCCGAAUCUAAUAAUUAAUUGUUGUAUUUUGAUUUUAUAAUUAUGGAAAGUGAUUGAGGUGAGUAACUAUCAUUUUGAUAUUGAAUUGAAUUUAUAUGAAUUUGUGAUUAAUCUGAAAUGUGGAUAUGAGAUAUUGAUUGUUUUUGAGUUGUGGAAUUAAACCUUAUUAACUGUAUCGAUUGAGUCGAAUAUAGAUAGCAUGCCAUAGGACUGGAAGAGUUCAGGGACUUUUCGACCUCGAGUUGAUGAGACACUGGUGUCAAUUAUCUACUUCGGAUUAAUUCGAUGAGGCACUGGGUGCCAACUUACUUCGGUUUAGCUUAUAAGACAUUGGGUGUCAAUUUAUUACUUCGAAUUAUCUGAUGAGGUACUGGGUACCAAACUAGUGUGUUUUGGUUGGAUCCGUGUAUGCGUCUAAGUCCAAGUUGUGUUAAUAGGGGUAAUUAAAUGAAAUGAUAAUAUGAUUGGAAUCGACAAGCAUUGAAUGUGAAAUGCAAGUGGGACAUAUGGAUUUCUGUAUCGUAUUGCGAAAAGCUAUUUUACAUAGCAAAUGAUGAUAACUGAAUAUGCUAUAAAUAAUUUGUUUAUUAAUUACUUAAUUGAAUAGCUAUCGUUGUUGUACUAUUAAAUGCGUAUGUUAUAUCAAUUUUUUUUUCAAAUAUUUGGAUUAUCGAAAUACCACUGAUUUUAUACUCAGCGUACGGUUUGUUUUUUGUGCGCAGGUUAUGUACUUAAGAAUUAAUCAUCGAUUUAGCAUCCAUCAACGAUCCCGAUCUCAAGCGUAGUGAUGUUUAUCCUUUUGUGUCGGCAUGUACCUAUGGUGUCUAAAUAAUAAUUAUUUUG